AAACUGAGGCAGAGAGUUAAGUAAUUUGCUCAAGAUCAUCCAGCUAGAAAGUGACAUAGCUGGAGUUCAAACCUAGGUAAAUGUUGUAUGCUUUUCUACGAUGCUGUGGUGCUCUCAGAUUUUCAUGAUUCACUUUCUGCCCUGUGAGAACUCAGGAAGCCACAGGAGAGAAUGAAGCAGGUCGCUGCUCUUCAGAAUCCACACAAGGUCAAAAGAGGCAGCUCUUAUACAGCAGCUGCAUGGAGCCCACUGACAGCUGGACUUCUGGAGGAGGGACAGACUGACAGAGCUGUGACUGUCCCAGGAAAGAGUGACAAGGAGGAUGGACCUCACUGUGUCUCCUGCCACCCCCCCGGUGUCCUGCAAUAAUCCUCUCGUUGGCUGAGCCCUGCUGGAAGACUGAAUGACACGGAGUGUCUAAAGGAGGGAGAAGGACAAAUGGAAAAUAGCCAGCAUGCUAGAAACAUCUGAAGUUGUCUCAGUCCAUUCAGGCUGCUAUAACAGACUGCCAUAGACCACGUGGCUUAUACACAACACAAGUUUAGUUCUUAGUUUUGGAGAUUGGGCAGGUCAAGAACAAGGCUCUGGCAAGAUGCAGCAUCUGGUGCCGACUCACUUGCUGGUUCUUGGGAGGCUGUCUCCUCCCUAUAGGUUCACAUGGCAAGAGGAAAGGGUGUGGAAUCAUACUCUGGAUUUGCCCAACAAUCAAAGGAGCAGCAACUAAGUAUCUCCGCAGAAUCUGGAGGAUGGGCUUGAUCUAGAACAUUGAUAAUGUUCUGACCUGCUGGGCUGGGGGGUAGGGAAGGUAACUAUUGCCGUCUUGCUCUGAUUUACUUUUAGAGAUAGAAGCAUUAAGUCGUAAUGUAUACCAAGAUUUUUUAAAUGAUUGAAUUUUAAAGUUGGAGAAUUUUCUGGAGAAGAGUAUUACUUGCAAGGAACUUCACAGCUUUAUCUCUGGCAUCAUUCUAUAAGACAAAUAUGAGCAAUGAUUUGUUGACCCACUGAGAUACCAUUUUCCUGUCACCCCUCAGGAAACAGAGUAUCACCGGCCUUUACCAAUAGGAAUAAGCCCACAAGAACCAUGGAGUUGUAAAGUGCCUAACCUGGCAUGGAUUUUAAAUACACUGAAGUCUUCUAUCGCUCAAAUUAGAUACUUGGUAAAAUACAGAUUCUCAGGCCAUUUGCCUGAAGAUUCUGAGGUAGCUAGUCUAAGUGUCCCAAGUGAACCUUCUGGUCACACUAGUUUGGAAAACACUAAUACUCUGUAACUUCCUCUUGACCUUAGUUUUCUUACACACUUGACUGAGGCCUCACAAAUAUUUUACGGUUACCAUCACCUUUGAGAAGUUGAAGAAAGCUCUGGACCUCUCCCAGAACAAUAUUUCUACCCAGAGUUUUACAUAUGAUUUCAGAUGCUUUCAGAGAUCUUCGCAGUAUGUCUGUAUCAUCUGUCUUACAAAACCCCAUUGUAUAGGAUCAGCUUAACAUUCCCCAGCCGAGAUUUCACGCUUCCUGUAAUCUUUGUCUCUCCUACUGUUUGAGCCUUGUGCCACAUUAUUCUCAUCAUACUCGGGAGCUACAAAGAUGAGCAUAUUUUUUCAGAUUAUAUUCCUGGACACAUGGAAAAAUUAAAAUCAAAGGAACCAGAAUGGUUUCCUUAAAGUGUAUAUGAGUUUGUCAAAAUACAGAAUAUCAUCUGUUAAGGAAAUGGC
Long non-coding RNA from Hyaena hyaena (striped hyena), 1712 nucleotides. RefSeq lists it as uncharacterized. The transcript is spliced from 3 exons. The record is from RefSeq and is a predicted model, not a curated record. Lineage: Eukaryota; Metazoa; Chordata; Mammalia; Carnivora; Hyaenidae.